UACGGAGGGGGCAAGCGUUAUUCGGAAUUAUUGGGCGUAAAGGGCGCGUAGGCGGCUAGAUGUGUCAAAGGUGAAAUCCCUCGGCUCAACUGAGGAACUGCCUUUGAAACUGUCUGGCUUGAGGCCGGGAGAGGGUAGCGGAAUUCCCAGUGUAGCGGUGAAAUGCGUAGAUAUUGGGAGGAACACCAGUGGCGAAGGCGGCUACCUGGACCGGUUCUGACGCUGAGGCGCGAAAGCGUGGGUAACAAACAGG
This 253-nucleotide ribosomal RNA is filed under the name uncultured bacterium. Its description in RNAcentral is "partial 16S ribosomal RNA". It matches the Rfam family "Bacterial small subunit ribosomal RNA", at positions 524 to 776 of the family's 1533-position model. The record is from RNAcentral.